AGGCAGGUGCUAUUGCACAGUAAUGCUCACCCAUAUUCAGUGUUACAGGCUUUCCCAAAAGCUAUGUUUAAUUAUAGAUUUCCUGUAUUGAGCUCAAAGCUGGUGAUAACAAUAGCGAAGUAGCCCAAAAGAGCAUAGAAAGGCAUUAGGCAAAGCUGUAGAUCAGACUAGCAAGUGUCUAAAUACUCUCUUUCAAUGAGACCACUUCAAGCGAGACCAAUGAAUUUUGUAGGACAGCUUUGGUAGCUUGCAAACAAGAAUGUAACUUUAAGAUCCUUCUAGUGGGAAAUGCUGUAAUGGGUUACUGUGUACUACUGAAAAAUAUCUUAGGGUUUAAUAUAGGCUUCCUAUGAGUGAAACAAGAGUGUUGAGACUAACAAGUGUUCAAAUAAGUGUGCCUGUGUUUUGAACUAACCCUUAGAUCUUUUAAUACAUGAACAGAAUAAUGCUAAAGGAAAAGAACUACAACAAAAACCUGGGCACCGCAGUAAAGCUGAUCUGUCUCUAACCUCCAAAUGUCUUUAAUUGUCUAACAUCUUGGUUGAAUUAGAUUCUUGAAGGUAAAAUUAUUCUGAAAGAAAACUAGCUAUAAAUAAAUCAAUCGUUGCUCACUAGAAGUUAGGCUGAGAGGGCUACUUUAGGCAGUUUAACUGCUUUCAUAGAGUGUUGCUUUUGCUUGAGAUGUAACUACUCGACACCUGCAGUAAGUGCCUUGACACCAAAGGACUUGCCUGGCCUAAGACGCCUGACAUGCACGCAGUGUUAUCACUCGGCUUUCCCCGUUGGGAGGGGAUAGGUAUUUUCUCGUCCAACCUUAUAGAUUGGGGCUUAAUCUGAACUGCAAGCCAUCACUUGUACCCAAACUGAGUAUCUUUCUGAAUCCUGAAAAACACCCAAACUUGCGUCAGCAUGUAAACUUCUGGAUACGUUUGUUGGCAAAACACCUCCUCGAACCACCCAAAUUGUCAUAUCUUCUGCCAGACAAGUUUCAUGCUGCUUGUGGGCAAAUCAGCUGUGUUAUCAAGCAAGAUGAUUGUUCCCUUCUCAGGCAAACCAAGGCACAACUACUUUCAGUUAGUUACUUCAAUUCUUUUACCCAAAUAGAGAGCAUGAUGAUUUCAACUUCUGUCACAUAAACCCUUUUACUAAGUAAUCAUUCAAAACUGUGAAGGUGCAUAGCCCAGUGCACAGACCCGCAAACUGGAUACAAGUAGUGCUAUAACAACGGAAGUUGAACUUCCUUGGCUUUUAAUUCUGAAGCACAGAAGUUGUCCUUCAUGUAGCCUAGAGCUGCAAACUUCUGUGGUGGUCUACAGGUUAGGUUUUAUACAGCUUUUUGUCUCAAAUCUAACUUAUUGUUUCAAGUCUCUAGAGUGACCAAAUAUUUGAGAAAAAAUCAUCACUUGAAAGGUAACUUUUCAGCUGGAGCAUCUGUAUAAAUGCAGGGGGGGCUGGAUAUUCAGACUACUUACAUGCUUUCAAAUACUCAGGACUUUUUUUUUUUCCUCCACUACAACUGUAGCUUUAUCCUGUUUUUUGUUUCUCAAGCCUUAGUAUUGCCUGUCAGUAUCCUUCAGACUCUGUUUUGUCUUUACAAACAAAACCAAAGUUGUUUUCAUGCUCUCAAGUGUUUUCUUUCUGAGCUAAACUGGAGUUACAUGGUGUUUUCCUUCAGAUAAUUCUAGCAACUUAGACAUGUUCUUUGUUUAAACUUAAUUUUGGUAGCUGUGUGGAGGCUAACGGGAAAAUACAUUGAUUGCUGCACAUUAAACCCUCAACAGUUCUAUCCAAUCUAGGUCAAUGUGUCAAGUUUCUACUUGAGUUGAGUUUCAGUGCAAGUAAUGGAGUAUGUGCUUCUUAAUAGAAAAAAAACCAAACUUUGUUCUGGGUACAGAUGUGUAGCUGUCUUUUCUUCAAGUGAUCUUAAGCCAUAACAAGACAAUUUUCUUUUGGCAUGAUUUAAUUUUGCCUAAUAACUAAUAUGAAAGUUGACAGAAUUGAUACAGACUAUUCAGUAUGUGUGACCAGAAUGUUUUACCCAAUUGACACUUGCUCUCUGCACACACCUGUAAAGCACUUUGUAACUACACUCAAUAACUUACAUGCUCCCUGUCAGAGAACCAUACUAUAGUCUGAAAUCUGUCAUAGGUAAUGUGUUGUAUUAAAACUGAAACUCAGAAUGAAAUCAGUCAGUCCUUACUUAGCCACAACAGUGGUUCAGGCAGACACCUGCCUUCACUCCUGCUUUUGAUAAAGAACUGAAGACCUGUUCAGCACAAGCACAUAGUUGAAGGAAGAACAGGACCCAACAGUUGCUGCCACUGCUGUUGUUAGAGCUCCUCUGCUGUCUGUUUCCAUGAAGAAUUAAUUCUGAGUACUUUUUCACAGCCUUGGAAUGAACAGUGCUAAUUCUUAUCCUUGGUGAUUAAAACAACACUAUGAAGGAACCUUGAUUCCCAACUAAGUGAUUUUAAAACUAAAUGGUCUUCCUGGAAAUGCCAUUUCAGAUGCUAUUUGACCAUGGCUGUAUCUGUACCUUGUUACUGAAGGCAUUUGGGUUAAAUGAAAGGACUUUACUGGUACAGAGUUGGGUUUAGGUAAAAUGUGAUGAUUUUUAUUUUUAAAAAUCAUUAUUAUCAAAGCAGAGCUGUGAACUUUAAUGGUUGCAUCAGGUAAAGUAGAUACUAUACAGGGAGAAAUACAGUUUCAGAAUUUUAUUACAUUAUCCUAAACCAAAAACCAUUUGAUACCACUUCAGCAUAAGUGAGUACAGCCAGUAUGUGCUUACCCAGCAUCAGCCCAUUGAAUUGGGCUGCUUCAUUUUGCAGAAUAAAGUUGUAACAGGGACACAGACAUGCAAAACACCCCCAGAGCAGGUCUAGUAACACCUUUUCAAUCACAUUAAAUUUAAGACUGAUUCUACAACUAAACACAAUAUUUCAUCAUAAUGAAACAGGUAUUGUUUAUUGUGAUUCAGUUUAAUUUGUAUCACUCUCUCUGUAUGUGAGCAUACUUUGCUGUAGCAUGUUGAGAGCAUACUUAACUUCUGCUGUUUUGAACGUUUGUUUAGAAAGUGCCCUUCCAGAGGACCCUGUUCACUGCUGCACUUUUGGGGAAAGAAAAAAAUAAACUGCCUAUCAAACU
Strigops habroptila (Kakapo) is the source of this 3144-nucleotide long non-coding RNA. NCBI's taxonomy places the organism in Eukaryota, Metazoa, Chordata, Aves, Psittaciformes, Psittacidae. The record is from Ensembl.